RNAcentral lists this long non-coding RNA (244 nucleotides) under Sorghum bicolor (sorghum). Its description in RNAcentral is "long non-coding RNA (SBIC_LNC014382)". The record is from RNAcentral. Lineage: Eukaryota; Viridiplantae; Streptophyta; Magnoliopsida; Poales; Poaceae.
GCUUAGUUAGAUUGGAUCUAUAUACAUUUUUAGGAUCGUAUAGCGUUUAUCCAUUGGAUCCAUGGGUGUCGAGGGUAUCAGUAAGGGGUACCCUAACUGAUGCACAAAAUGAGAUUACCCGCGCACAGAUCGAGGCCCUCAACCCGACGUUCUAAUAAGCCAUGCGGUCAUCGAUGGCCGCAGCCUCGAAGACGGAAAAGACGUCGAGCGAACCGCUCGGGGGUCAAACGUCAACUACCGUCGA